GCCUAAUACAUGCAAGACGAGCGAAAGGAUUAAGAGCUUGCUCUUAAGAAGUUAGCGGCGGACGGGUGAGUAACACGUGGGUAACCUACCCAUAAGACUGGGAUAACUCCGGGAAACCGGGGCUAAUACCGGAUAAUAUUUUGAACUGCAUAGUUCGAAAUUGAAAGGCGGCUUCGGCUGCCACUUAUGGAUGGACCCGCGUCGCAUUAGCUAGUUGGUGAGGUAACGGCUCACCAAGGCGACGAUGCGUAGCCGACCUGAGAGGGUGAUCGGCCACACUGGGACUGAGACACGGCCCAGACUCCUACGGGAGGCAUCUUUACCCACCCCCCCGCAAAGGACGAAAAGUCUGACAGAGCACCGCCGCGUGAGUGACGAAGGCCCCCGGGCCGAAAAACUCUGUUGUUAGGGAAAAACAAGGGCUAAGUGGAAUAAGCUGGCACCUUGACGGUACCUAACCAGAAAGCCACGGCUAACUACGUGCCAGCAGCCGCGGUAAUACGUAGGUGGCAAGCGUUAUCCGGAAUUAUUGGGCGUAAAGCGCGCGCAGGUGGUUUCUUAAGUCUGAUGUGAAAGCCCACGGCUCAACCGUGGAGGGUCAUUGGAAACUGGGAGACUUGAGUGCAGAAGAGGAAAGUGGAAUUCCAUGUGUAGCGGUGAAAUGCGUAGAGAUAUGGAGGAACACCAGUGGCGAAGGCGACUUUCUGGUCUGUAACUGACACUGAGGCGCGAAAGCGUGGGGAGCAAACA
Molecule: ribosomal RNA, 750 nt
Filed under: uncultured bacterium
Lineage: Bacteria
Description: bacterial SSU rRNA
Rfam family: Bacterial small subunit ribosomal RNA
Source: RNAcentral